Molecule: signal recognition particle RNA, 97 nt
Filed under: Candidatus Paracaedibacteraceae bacterium
Lineage: Bacteria; Pseudomonadati; Pseudomonadota; Alphaproteobacteria; Holosporales; Candidatus Paracaedibacteraceae
Description: signal recognition particle sRNA small type
Rfam family: Bacterial small signal recognition particle RNA
About the family: The signal recognition particle (SRP) is a universally conserved ribonucleoprotein involved in the co-translational targeting of proteins to membranes. Archaeal SRP consists of a 7S RNA and homologues of the eukaryotic SRP19 and SRP54 proteins. In most bacteria, the SRP consists of a 4.5S RNA and the Ffh protein (a homologue of the eukaryotic SRP54 protein).
Source: RNAcentral
UGGAAGGUUGUGCGGGCGACUCCUUUGCUCAUCUGGUCAGGGUCGGAAGACAGCAGCCAAAGUGAAGGCUCGGUCGGGUCGUAUCAACCUUCCACGA